Molecule: long non-coding RNA, 1625 nt
Organism: Ruditapes philippinarum (Manila clam)
Lineage: Eukaryota; Metazoa; Mollusca; Bivalvia; Venerida; Veneridae
Exons: 2
Source: RefSeq, a predicted model, not a curated record
CAGUUCUUACAAGAAACUCAAAGUUAAUUUUUAAUUGCAAUGGAGUUUUGUGUUAAUAUUCUGUUAUUUGUUAUAAAAAUUCUGUUAUAAAACUUAAUUAAAUACACGAUUAUUUAGUUAUACGUCAGGUGGUCAGUAUUGAAUAGAUAAAUGAAUAAUUGAAUAAACAAAAGGUAUCAAGUUAAUAAACUCGAGUCAUUAAUAAUAUUACAUCAAUUUACACUGUGUCCUGACACAAAUUUCUAUUUAUAUCUUAACAGUUUGGAUUUCCAAUGAAUUAAAGGGAUUGUCUUUUUUCUAAUUUCCUUUAACUAAGUUUGUAACUAGUAAUGGAAUUUUUAUUAGACACAGUUUUUUUUAGUUAAUUCUCGAUAUUACGUGAAAUUUCAUGCGCAUUAAAAAACCCACCUAUUAUACAUCAACAUGGCUCAGAUUUCUGCAUAAAAAGCGCUUUUGAACAGUGAUUUGUCUUUAUAACGCCCCUACUUUUGAGUUUGGAAACACUACUAGGUCUUUAAAUUUGCUUGAUAUAACUGGAUUUAAAAAGGAAAAGUCGCUAAUUUUGUUUGACAAAUUGGAAUGAUGAGUUUUGGUAACUCUUGGGGAAAUGGUUGGUCUGAGAAAUGUUUCAAUGGAGGAAAUAGUGGAAGCAGGUCUGGAAAUAAGGAUCCGGAAGGAACCCAUAAUGCUUCAUGUAUUGCUGGAUCUGGAAGCUGGGGAAACAGUGGACUUAUGAAAAAUUACUAUGAUGAAAGCUGCUCUGGUUGCCGACAUGACAGGUCCAAAUCAUCAUGGGGCAGCCCUCAAUCUGGCGGAAACCCUGCAUUAAAAAUUGCAUCUUUAUUUGGAAUUGGCGUGUUAGCUAAGAAAAGCCUUUGGGAUUGAAAACGAAUGAUUUCUCAGAGAUCAGUUCAAUUAUGCGACGAGAAUGUUUUUUACUUGUUUAAACAAGUUAUUCUUAGUGUCAAUAUUGUCGACAUGUCUGCAUGAGUGUUCUAGAAAGUGAAAUAUAAGCAAUAUGUGCAAUAAUUAUAAAUAAUUUGAUCGCUAUGAACAAACGGCUCUAAGGAAGAUAAAAUAUACGAUUGUUGCAGACAGAUACGAACUGUAUGUACAUUUAAACAAAUUCAGGCGUACAACAAUAACAGCAAUUUUGCGGAUAGAAGUAAAUUACAUUUGGACAAAAAGAUUGCAUUUGAUAUCAUAUUCAGACAUGAAAAACUUGAUUCUACAUACAAUAAUAAUUAUGUGAUACCAUGUUGUAGGUAUACAGUUGCUGUAAUGUUACUUGUCAUAUGAUUAAGAGAUGUGUUAAAACAACAUUUGAUGUAGUCUUUGAUGUAAUUCUUGUAUUAAGGGAUCUAGUCGUCAUUGGUCAAAUAUCUUCUUUGAUUGAAUUAUUCGAGACAAUGAUUACACGAUUCAAGAACUUCAUUAUUAGAUUUUGUGACACAUAUUAUGCCCGGAUGAAAGGGCAUACUAGGAAAACAACACAGGGUUAACGAAUCAUGCAUUUGAACAACUAUAUCUACACAUUAUUUUUUUAUUUGUAUGCUCAUUUUGUAUUGUAUUUGUAUAACCUAUAUUUUAAUGAAUAUUUCGAAUAAAAGCUCAAAAUCUCUCAA